This 748-nucleotide long non-coding RNA is filed under the name Oryzias javanicus (javanese ricefish). Its description in RNAcentral is "lncRNA (ENSOJAG00000003729.1)". Lineage: Eukaryota; Metazoa; Chordata; Actinopteri; Beloniformes; Adrianichthyidae. The record is from RNAcentral.
CAUUCUGCUUUGAGUUGCUGGUUGAACUUUGCCAGUAAAUACUGUUAUCAGGCUCAUAAUACUCUACAGGGUGUUGAAUUUUUCUGAUGUGGUUUUCUGUGCAGCAACCGCAUUCACAUGGAGCAGUCUGCGUGUAUUCUCCUGCUUCCCGUGGACAUUAUCACCAGUCUUGCUUUAUUGGAGGGAAACUUUAUAGGUAAUACACGUAUAUUUAUCCUUUUUUAUGAUGAGCAUACAGUUUGAUUGAAUGUUUUUUUUUUUUAUUCUUUCAGUGAAGGAUCAUCGGCUAUCAAUGAUGGAGCAACUUAAAAGUAAAACCUCCUGUAUUUCCAUGAUUUGCAUCAGCCUAAAAUAUAUUCCAAGGAUCACUCUCAUGGAUGCCAGCUGUCAGCCCUGUCCUCCUGCUGUAGUGGUGGAUGCAGUGUUGUCAUUGUUGAGGCUGUGCAGUGGACUUUCUCCUCCCUCGCCGGCUGGCUGUGUUACAAUGUUUAGAAAUGUGACUGGGAGUGGUAAAGUUCAGAAAUGUGCCCUGGAGGCUCUGUCAGCUCUCAGCAGCAGCCCAGUGUUUUUCAGAAGUGAAAGUCAUGCUGGUUGAAGUUUUCACCCUCCUGAUAGAGUACCUGAACCAUCCUGACUCGGACCCUACUGUAAGUUUAUAUCAGCAUCCUGUUUUAUUUUUGCUUAUUAAUUCUGUUGUUGAAUUUCAUCCCUUUUUGAAGCUGUCUUUGAGGUAAGUUAGCGCAGAUGA